Strigops habroptila (Kakapo) is the source of this 1424-nucleotide long non-coding RNA. RefSeq lists it as uncharacterized. The transcript is spliced from 2 exons. The record is from RefSeq and is a predicted model, not a curated record. Lineage: Eukaryota; Metazoa; Chordata; Aves; Psittaciformes; Psittacidae.
AAUUUAAAAUUAUUAAGUUCUGUCAGUUUAAGACUAGCCAUAUGCAGUAAAAUAUUUCAACUAUAUAGUUUUUACAUAUCAACAGAGAGUGUAGAAGAGAGAUUUAUAAAUAAGAAAACUACUGUUCAAAAAUGUGUAUCCUUUACUAUAGCUGCUAUAAAUCGUGUUAUUUAAAAGAAUUUUUUCCUACAAAGGUUUUACUUUAAAGAACUGAUAGAAUUUUAGUGAGAGAAUCUCCUCUGUUCCAUCUUUCCUGAAAACAGUGUUAUUCUGUAUAUCUUGUCUGUUGCUACUAAUAUAGUUCUUCUUUUCCAUCCACCCUACCCACCCCCUUCCCCCCCUAAAAAAAAGAAUAAUUUGGGAAUAGUGGGCAGGAAAAAUAUCUUAUGCAGAAGGGAACUGAUUCCAUGAUUUCUUCAAGUCUUUUCUACCACUAAGGUAUCUGGUCUUAGCUUCAACAGCUGCUGUUUAGGAGCAGGCCUCUGUCCUUACAUUCUGUCUGUCCUAUUAGUUAAAAAUAGACCAGUUUAUGCACAAGGGCUAGAAUAUUAGAAGGCAGCAUUUUGAAGGCUCAUGUGAAUGCUAUAGUUUGUGCAUAACCAACUGCUUUUGUUCCUGACUGCAACAGUCUCUGUCUUUUAAGUUGAGCCUCUGAGGUCAGGAGGCUGAGGACUGGCAUAAAGACAUCUGUGAGAUGUGCUGCCUCUAAUCUUCUGUACUGCCUCACUCUGCUUAUAGAAUGCAUAUGCAGUUUGGAGAAAGAUGCACAUAGACCUACUGGGUCUUACUUCCAUGAUUUCAAGCACUUUCAUGUGUGUGGAAUACUGUUCUGCAUUAAGAAGGAAAGAUAUGGGGAGUUUAGAGGGUCUGGAGUCUCCAGAAAUUAAUGGUAUUGCAAAGACUGGUUGGCAAUCCCUUAGACGCGGUUAUGAUACAGAGUAUGUAAUUACAUAUUCCAUAGCCACGAUGCCGGUUUUCCCAGGCUUUCUUGCCUCAGGUGGAAUCUUGUGGAAGCUACAGUGAGUGAAUGAAUGCCAAUAUUUUAUUAGAUAUAUUGAGAAAUGAAGGUGGUGGGAGGGCAAGGCAGCUCUCUACACACCUGUACUGUAAGGUCUGGAAUGAGCCUUCUCAGAGCUUCAAAUGCUGAUUGGAGAGAGCUUAUCAUACUCAUCCUUGGAGGUUCUUGAAAACUGUCACAGCCUGGAAGGCUUGGAGGUGGUAAGAGAUUUUUCUGUGAGAAAGGCUGAGUUUUGAAGUGAUUCUCUUUUGUGUUUUCCAGGGACUCACAGCGGCUUUUAGCACAAGUUCUUUGCAAUUCAUGUGGGAAUUCUGGGUUUCCUUGGCCCUGUUGUUCAGGCAGGAGAGCGCAAGGCAUAAAAUAUGUGGAAAUAACCUGGAUGUUGGCACCUUGUGGAGGAGGAAUU